This 495-nucleotide ribosomal RNA is filed under the name uncultured bacterium. Its description in RNAcentral is "partial 16S ribosomal RNA". It matches the Rfam family "Bacterial small subunit ribosomal RNA", at positions 28 to 507 of the family's 1533-position model. The record is from RNAcentral.
GACGAACGCUGGCGGCGUGCCUAAUACAUGCAAGUAGAACGCUGAAGGAGGAGCUUGCUUCUCUGGAUGAGUUGCGAACGGGUGAGUAACGCGUAGGUAACCUGCCUGGUAGCGGGGGAUAACUAUUGGAAACGAUAGCUAAUACCGCAUAAUAGCAGUUGUUGCAUGAUAACUGUUUGAAAGGUGCAAUUGCACCACUACCAGAUGGACCUGCGUUGUAUUAGCUAGUUGGUGGGGUAACGGCUCACCAAGGCGACGAUACACAGCCGACCUGAGAGGGUGAUCGGCCACACUGGGACUGAGACACGGCCCAGACUCCUACGGGAGGCAGCAGUAGGGAAUCUUCGGCAAUGGACGGAAGUCUGACCGAGCAACGCCGCGUGAGUGAAGAAGGUUUUCGGAUCGUAAAGCUCUGUUGUAAGAGAAGAACGAGUGUGAGAGUGGAAAGUUCACACUGUGACGGUAUCUUACCAGAAAGGGACGGCUAACUACGUG